GUAGUCCACGCCGUAAACGAUGAAUACUAGGUGUAGGGGUUGUCAUGACCUCUGUGCCGCCGCUAACGCAUUAAGUAUUCCGCCUGGGGAGUACGGUCGCAAGAUUAAAACUCAAAGGAAUUGACGGGGGCCCGCACAAGCAGCGGAGCAUGUGGUUUAAUUCGAAGCAACGCGAAGAACCUUACCUAGACUUGACAUCUCCUGCAUUACCCUUAAUCGGGGAAGUUCCUUCGGGAACAGGAAGACAGGUGGUGCAUGGUUGUCGUCAGCUCGUGUCGUGAGAUGUUGGGUUAAGUCCCGCAACGAGCGCAACCCUUAUUGUUAGUUGCUACCAUUUAGUUGAGCACUCUAGCGAGACUGCCCGGGUUAACCGGGA
Molecule: ribosomal RNA, 376 nt
Filed under: uncultured bacterium
Lineage: Bacteria
Description: bacterial SSU rRNA
Rfam family: Bacterial small subunit ribosomal RNA
Source: RNAcentral